UUGGAUAACUUGGCGAAACGCCAAGCUAAUACAUGAACUAAAGGACGCGUUCUGUUCCGGCGGCGGGGCAACUCGCCGCCUUGGCGCGUCCAGCGAAUGAAUGAAAGUAAAACCAACGCCUUCACCGGCAGUAACACUUAGAAGUGCUGACUCAAUUCAUUCCGUGCGAAAGCUGGGUUUUUUACCUGGCGUCUUUUGACGAACAACUGCCCUAUCAGCCAGUGAUGGCCGUGUAGUGGACUGCCAUGGCGUUGACGGGAGCGGGGGAUUAGGGUUCGAUUCCGGAGAGGGAGCCUGAGAAAUAGCUACCACUUCUACGGAGGGCAGCAGGCGCGCAAAUUGCCCAAUGUCAAAAAAAAACGAUGAGGCAGCGAAAAGAAAUAGAGCCGAGAGCGCCUUUGGCGUUGUCGUUUUCAAUGGGGGAUAUUUAAACCCAUCCAAAAUCGAGUAACAAUUGGAGGACAAGUCUGGUGCCAGCACCCGCGGUAAUUCCAGCUCCAAAAGCGUAUAUUAAUGCUGUUGCUGUUAAAGGGUUCGUAGUUGAACUGUGGGCCUUCGAGGCGCAUUGGUUUUGUCCCGUCCACUUCGGAUCGGUGACCCAUGCCCUUGAGGUCCGUGAACACACAGAACCAAGAAACACGGGAGUGGUACCUUCCUGAUUCUCGCAUGUCAUGCAUGCCAGGGGGCGCCCGUGAUUUUUACUGUGACUAAAAAAGUGUGACCAAAGCAGUCAGUCGACUUGAAUUA
Molecule: ribosomal RNA, 747 nt
Filed under: Trypanosoma sp.
Lineage: Eukaryota; Euglenozoa; Kinetoplastea; Trypanosomatida; Trypanosomatidae
Description: SSU rRNA
Rfam family: Eukaryotic small subunit ribosomal RNA
Source: RNAcentral